Molecule: long non-coding RNA, 529 nt
Filed under: Gossypium barbadense (sea-island cotton)
Lineage: Eukaryota; Viridiplantae; Streptophyta; Magnoliopsida; Malvales; Malvaceae
Description: long non-coding RNA (GBAR_LNC023288)
Source: RNAcentral
AGAAUAUAAUGCCAAAUCAUCAUCACCUCUCAUUGCAAUGCCUGCAUAUAUAACUUAGUGAAGUACUUUGAUCUUGAUCUUGGUUAAGAGUUGUUCCAGCAAUAAAGAAAAUUGUUAAACAGAAUCUCGGUCACCUGACUGAGCAAAACAAGGAAAUUAGCUAUACCAUCUACUGUAAUGAAAGUGAAAUCAAUAAAAAGUAAACCCAUAAUAAAAAAACUGAUGCUAGGCUAAUCGUAAAUUCUACUGUCGCUAUAAAUAAGUGACAGGCAUAAGUCCAGUUUCAUGUUGAUGGACUUGUAAGGCCUCAAAAAGAAAAUAAGUAGCAUAUAUGAAAAAGACAAAGGGUCAAAUGAAGGUUAAAGGAGAUGUCAUGACGAACCUCACUAGAUUUGACACAUUUUUACCCUUAAAGUCCAACUCUUCCUUCUCCUUAUCAUCCCUGUAACCUCUAUGUUUUAAUUAUUAUCUUCCCAUAUGAUCUCCAGGACAUUGUCAUUCACAUCAACUUGCACUUAAUUUUCAAGCA